AUUGCUUCUCGGCCUUUUGGCUAAGAUCAAGUGUAGUAUCUGUUCUUAUCAGUUUAAAAUAUGCUCCAGGGGAGUUCCUGUCAUGGUUCAAUGGUAACAAACCCAAC
This is a small nuclear RNA of 107 nucleotides. Its record names the gene U2. It matches the Rfam family "U2 spliceosomal RNA". Rfam says of the family: U2 is a small nuclear RNA (snRNA) component of the spliceosome (involved in pre-mRNA splicing). Complementary binding between U2 snRNA (in an area lying towards the 5' end but 3' to hairpin I) and the branchpoint sequence (BPS) of the intron results the bulging out of an unpaired adenosine, on the BPS, which initiates a nucleophilic attack at the intronic 5' splice site, thus starting the first of two transesterification reactions that mediate splicing. The record is from Ensembl.